AUGAGUGUGAUCUGCGUCCUCAUCUGGACUCUCCUCUGCUGCUGCUUCACAGAGUCCAGAGGACAGGUCACAGUGACUCAGCCUGGAGCAGUGAGCUCCAAUGUCGGAGGAUCUGUCUCCAUCUCAUGCAGAACCAGUCAGAAUGUUUAUAGCAACAACCGUUUAGCCUGGUAUCAACAGAAAGAUGGAGAAAAGCCUAAACUACUAAUUUACUAUGCUACCACUCGAGAAUCAGGGACUCCAACUCGUUUUACAGGCAGUGGAUCAAACUCUGAUUUCACUCUGACCAUCAGUGGAGUUCAGGCUGAAGAUGCAGCAGUUUAUUACUGUCAGAGUGUUCACUACAUCAACAGUCAAUAUGUGUUCACACAGUGAAAAACAGUCGUACAAAAACCUCCCUCAUUCAGGCUGAACAGAAACUGAACUGACUGCUGCAGCUGGAAGAUGCUGCAGACACUGAUACAGUUCACUGAACAUCCAUUCUAACAAACACAGGAAUUCCAUCAAGCUUACAUUAAAAAAUAAAUAAAUAAAAAA
Molecule: non-coding RNA, 537 nt
Organism: Oryzias melastigma (Indian medaka)
Lineage: Eukaryota; Metazoa; Chordata; Actinopteri; Beloniformes; Adrianichthyidae
Source: the annotation of a RefSeq genome assembly